This is a long non-coding RNA of Podarcis raffonei (Aeolian wall lizard), 629 nucleotides long. RefSeq lists it as uncharacterized. The record is from RefSeq and is a predicted model, not a curated record. NCBI's taxonomy places the organism in Eukaryota, Metazoa, Chordata, Lepidosauria, Squamata, Lacertidae. The transcript has 3 exons.
GUGUGAGUCAGUGCCCUGAGGGAAUAAUGAGGAAUUCAUUGCUGUUGCUACAAAGAAUGAAGUAGGAGAAACAAUGCACAUUUUCUCCUCAGAAUGAGAGGAACAAAUAGACAAGAAGAGUACCAGACUUGAAGAUCAUGGAAUUGUAGUGGUAGCUAAUUUGUAGUAGCUAAUUUGAAAAUGAGAUCAGGGACUGCCUUCUGGCCAGCAUGGAGUGGACCAGAAUGAGACACCCACAUAAAGAAUGGAGCAAUCUUCCAUUUUACCUGAAAGUCAGAAAAUUCAACUUCUCCAAGUGUCCAAUUUCUCCAGGUGUAGAUGCCCUAUCAUGCAGCUGAUCCACAGGUAAUGGAGACAAUUUACAAUACAAAAACCAGGGACCGUGGAGAAGAGUUGCUGGGGUAUACGAUGAUCCAGUCUGUUAUUAUUGCAGGACAGUUUCCAAUAGGGCAUACCUUGGAUCCUGUCAAACCUGGGAAAUAUUCUGACGCUGUGGUUCAUAAAGACUUAUGACCAUUUCAUCUCUUGUUUGCCAAUGUCUGUGGAAGUGUUUAUCUAAAUGGCUCAACAUUUGCUCAAAUCAGCAGCAUCCCCAUCAUCAUCCUCAUCACCACCAUUAUUAAAUUGUU